AUGCCAGAAGAAUGGAGACGGAGUAUAUUAGUACCAAUCUUCAAGAACAAGGGGGAUGUUCAGAGUUGUACUAAUUACCGUGGAAUUAAGCUGAUGAGCCAUACAAUGAAGCUAUGGGAGAGAGUCAUUGAGCACCGCUUAAGAAGAAUGACAAGCGUGACCAAAAAUCAGUUUGGUUUCAUGCCUGGGAGGUCGACCAUGGAAGCCAUUUUCUUGGUACGACAACUAAUGGAGAGAUAUAGGGAGCAUAAGAAGGACUUGCAUAUGGUGUUCAUUGACUUGGAGAAGGCCUAUGAUAAGAUACCGCGGAAUGUCAUGUGGUGGGCCUUGGAGAAACACAAAGUCCCAGCAAAGUACAUUAUCCUCAUCAAGGACAUGUACAAUAAUGUUGUGACAAGUGUUCGAACAAGUGAUGUCGACACCGAUGACUUCCCGAUUAAGAUAGGACUGCAUCAGGGGUCAGGUUUGAGCCCUUAUCUUUUUGCAUUGGUGAUGGAUGAGGUCACAAGGGGUAUACAGGGAGAUAUCCCAUGGUGUAUGCUCUUUGCGGAUGAUGUGGUGCUAGUUAACGAUAGUCGGACGGGGGUAAAUAGGAAGUUAGAGUUAUGGAGACAAACCUUGGAAUCGAAAGGGUUUAGGCUUAGUAGAACUAAAACCGAGUACAUGAUGUGCGGUUUCAGUACUACUAGCUGUGAGGAGGAGGAGGUUAGCCUUGAUGGCCAGGUGGUACCUCGGAAGGACACCUUUCGGUAUUUGGGGUCAAUGUUACAGGAGGAUGGGGGUAUUGAUGAAGAUGUGAACCAUUGA
Molecule: ribosomal RNA, 807 nt
Filed under: Triticum aestivum (bread wheat)
Lineage: Eukaryota; Viridiplantae; Streptophyta; Magnoliopsida; Poales; Poaceae
Description: partial small subunit ribosomal RNA
Source: RNAcentral